UCCCACCACCGCAUCUCCCUUCUCUCGGUGCCCUAUCUCCUGCCUCCACCACUACCUCUCGAAUCCCCUGGCCACACUCGCCCCCGCAGCUACCAUAGAGGCCAACCGGUUGUCCUCAGCACCCAUGGCGAUCAGCACCUCCCGCCGCUCCGCCCACACACCGCCACCGCCGCCGGGCUGCUAGCCUCCCAUGAAGCUUCGUCUGCAGGGGACACCAAUUCUCCAAAUCAUAACCCCCAGCAUAAAAUCUGUCGAUAGAGAAGAAGCUAUGAAAUUCAACAGAUUUUAACCUUGACAAUCUGUCGACAGAUGUGUAGCAAACUGUGCAGCACUUGCGCUCCUAGAUAAUAUUUUUAUUGUAAAUCCAUUAUUAUUAGGCUAUCAGCGCAUCAACUGUGUGUUCAAAAACAGCUUUGGUGCCUUCCUGAUUUACCUUAGUUCACAUUUGUGGUUGUGGACUCCUGAGCGAUUUUCUUCAAAACGAGAGGCUCCGCAUAAUUGACUGAUUGACAAUUGACAAGCCCCGAUCUUUUCACAAGCCGCCAAAAACACGGCGAGCAUCAGCUGAUGAACAGUAAGCACUUCACUGGAUCAGUACUGCUUGUGAGUUGUGACCAUGGUUUUAAAUAGCCGGCUAUAGUCCCAUUGUGGCUCCGUUAUAUCUUUUUUUAGAGGAUUUCCGCUACGCUAUUUGUAUUUUUGCCGCCAUGGCAGCUAUGGACGCUAAAUUGGGCUAUAGCUAUGCUAAAUAGCGUAGCUUUAGCGUCGCUAUAGCCUUAUCCUUAGCUCGGUGCUAUUAUUUUGGUCUUUUGGGCAACUGAAUAUUUGAUUGUAUGAAUUUUAUUUUAUUAUCAACUUAAGUAAUGUACCCUUAACCCUAGAAACAUAUUCAUGUUUAUGAAAUUCGCUAAUUACUAUA
This is a long non-coding RNA of Panicum virgatum (switchgrass), 919 nucleotides long. RefSeq lists it as uncharacterized. The transcript is spliced from 2 exons. NCBI's taxonomy places the organism in Eukaryota, Viridiplantae, Streptophyta, Magnoliopsida, Poales, Poaceae. The record is from RefSeq and is a predicted model, not a curated record.